UGGGGAAUAUUGGACAAUGGGCGAAAGCCUGAUCCAGCCAUGCCGCAUGUGUGAAGAAGGUCUUCGGAUUGUAAAGCACUUUAAGUUGGGAGGAAGGGCAUUAACCUAAUACGUUAGUGUUUUGACGUUACCGACAGAAUAAGCACCGGCUAACUCUGUGCCAGCAGCCGCGGUAAUACAGAGGGUGCAAGCGUUAAUCGGAAUUACUGGGCGUAAAGCGCGCGUAGGUGGUUUGUUAAGUUGGAUGUGAAAUCCCCGGGCUCAACCUGGGAACUGCAUUCAAAACUGACUGACUAGAGUAUGGUAGAGGGUGGUGGAAUUUCCUGUGUAGCGGUGAAAUGCGUAGAUAUAGGAAGGAACACCAGUGGCGAAGGCGACCACCUGGACUAAUACUGACACUGAGGUGCGAAAGCGUGGGGAGCAAACA
Molecule: ribosomal RNA, 427 nt
Filed under: uncultured bacterium
Lineage: Bacteria
Description: partial 16S ribosomal RNA
Rfam family: Bacterial small subunit ribosomal RNA
Source: RNAcentral